UACGGAGGGGGCUAGCGUUGUUCGGAAUUACUGGGCGUAAAGCGCACGUAGGCGGCUUUGUAAGUUAGAGGUGAAAGCCCAGGGCUUAACCCCUGGAAUUGCCUUUAAGACUGCAUCGCUAGAAUCGUGGAGAGGUGAGUGGAAUUCCGAGUGUAGAGGUGAAAUUCGUAGAUAUUCGGAAGAAACACCAGUGGCGAAGGCGACUCACUGGACACGUAUUGACGCUGAGGUGCGAAAGCGUGGGGAGCAAACAGG
Molecule: ribosomal RNA, 255 nt
Filed under: uncultured bacterium
Lineage: Bacteria
Description: partial 16S ribosomal RNA
Rfam family: Bacterial small subunit ribosomal RNA
Source: RNAcentral